GACGAACGCUGGCGGCGUGCCUAAUACAUGCAAGUAGAACGCACAGUUUAUACCGUAGCUUGCUACACCAUAGACUGUGAGUUGCGAACGGGUGAGUAACGCGUAGGUAACCUGCCUGGUAGCGGGGGGUAACUAUUGGAAACGAUAGCUAAUACCGCAUAAUAUUGAUUAUUGCAUGGUAAUUGAUUGAAAGAUGCUAUUGCAUCACUACCAGAUGGACCUGCGUUGUAUUAGCUAGUAGGUGAGGUAACGGCUCACCUAGGCGACGAUACAUAGCCGACCUGAGAGGGUGAUCGGCCACACUGGGACUGAGACACGGCCCAGACUCCUACGGGAGGCAGCAGUAGGGAAUCUUCGGCAAUAGACGAAAGUCUGACCGAGCAACGCCGCGUGAGUGAAGAAGGUUUUCGGAUCGUAAAGCUCUGUUGUAAGAGAAGAACGGGUGUGAGAGUGGAAAGUUCACACUGUGACGGUAUCUUACCAGAAAGGGACGGCUAACUACGUG
Molecule: ribosomal RNA, 505 nt
Filed under: uncultured bacterium
Lineage: Bacteria
Description: partial 16S ribosomal RNA
Rfam family: Bacterial small subunit ribosomal RNA
Source: RNAcentral